UAUUUAAUUUUUUCCCGAAAUAAGAAGAGCUAAAAAAGUUUAGGUUUGGCCAUAUACUUUACUGUUGCAUAAUUAAUUCUAAAAAUUUUUUUAGGGGUGAAAAGCUUUCAAUUCUUAUAAUAACUGGAUUUAUUUGAAAUGCAUUUAGUGCAGAUAAUUGAGAAAAGAAGUAUUAAGAUUUCUUUUUAGGAAAAAUUUUCGGAUUAUCCUCUUAUUUUGAGUAAAAUCAAUAAUUUUCCUAUCUUACGAUUUAUUUGUCUUUUAUUUUCUUUAAUAAAAUUUAAUCUUUUCUUUCUCUUUUUAAGAUUUUUACUGUUUAAAUUAGUCUUUUUUAAAAAUUUUUUUAAGGAACUCGGCUUUGCUUAUUCGACUGUUUAUCAAAAACAUAGCUUAUAGGAUUUUGUUUUAUAAGUUUUACCUGCCCAGUGAAUAAUUUAACGGCCGCAGUACCCUGACUGUGCUAAGGUAGCAUAAUAAAUUGGCUUUUAAUUGAAGUCUUGAUCAAAGGUUUUUCGGAUAAGUUCUGUCUUAAAAAAAAUUUUAAUAAUUUACUAUUUAGGUGAAAAUUCCUAAAAAAAUAUCAUUAGACAAGAAGACCCUUAGAGUUUAUUUUUUUUGUUGGGGCGACAUGAUUUCAUCUAACAAAUCUUACUAAUGUGCCGACUAUACUAAGAUUAAUUAAGCUACCUAAGGGAUAACAGCGCAAUAUUUUUUUGUUUGUGACCUCGAUGUUGGAUUAGGGAAAAUCCUAACUAGUAGUUAGGAUUUUCUGUUCUGUUCGAACAUUUACCCUUACAUGAUCUGAGUUCAGACCGGCGUAAGCCAGGUCAGU
Molecule: ribosomal RNA, 832 nt
Filed under: Nata tarachodes
Lineage: Eukaryota; Metazoa; Mollusca; Gastropoda; Stylommatophora; Rhytididae
Description: partial 16S ribosomal RNA
Source: RNAcentral